Molecule: ribosomal RNA, 292 nt
Filed under: uncultured Frankiales bacterium
Lineage: Bacteria; Bacillati; Actinomycetota; Actinomycetes; Frankiales
Description: partial 16S ribosomal RNA
Rfam family: Bacterial small subunit ribosomal RNA
Source: RNAcentral
GUGUCAGCAGCCGCGGUAAUACGUAGGGCGCAAGCGUUGUCCGGAAUUAUUGGGCGUAAAGAGCUCGUAGGCGGUCUGUCACGUCGGCUGUGAAAACCCGAGGCUCAACCUCGGGCCUGCAGUCGAUACGGGCAGACUAGAGUUCGGUAGGGGAGACUGGAAUUCCUGGUGUAGCGGUGAAAUGCGCAGAUAUCAGGAGGAACACCGGUGGCGAAGGCGGGUCUCUGGGCCGAAACUGACGCUGAGGAGCGAAAGCGUGGGGAGCAAACAGGAUUAGAUACCCCCGUAGUCC